This is a long non-coding RNA of Zingiber officinale, 1675 nucleotides long. RefSeq lists it as uncharacterized. The transcript is spliced from 3 exons. Lineage: Eukaryota; Viridiplantae; Streptophyta; Magnoliopsida; Zingiberales; Zingiberaceae. The record is from RefSeq and is a predicted model, not a curated record.
CCCCUCACCGAAUUCCUUCCCCUCUUCAUAUCGCGACGCCACCCUCUCCUUCGCCGAACCCAUCUUUCCCGAGCACCUCACGAUGCCGCCCUCUCCACCCGUCCCUUCCCUCUUGCGAGUUUCCUGACGUUGUCGGCCUCUCCUCCUCACAACAGCACCAGAGUCGAGCCCUAGCCGCCGGCUCUCUCCCUCACGCGGGCAGCACAGCGACGAUCCUCCUCCAUUGACGGAGCUUGUCCAGUGGAUGUUCUUCCUCUUGAAUCGCCGACCGAGGCCCCUUCUCCACCGAUCUCGCUCCUUCGUCGGCGCAAAGCCACCACAGCCAACUGCUAGUGGCCAACAUCUGUUGCUGUGGGUCGUCAUCAGAGCAGUGGCGACGCCGUUCUUUCCCUCCUAGCCGAGCCCUAGCCUCGAUUGGUGGAGGCCGAUGCUGAAUGGUAACAGGUAGAUGAUUCAUGGGUGCUUGGAGAGAUGUCGGCUGUCAGUCCUGGGUCUUGCAUUAUAUCGGUUUUAUUUUCGCUUUACUAUUUUUUUAGUAUACAGCGGUUUUAGUAUUGUAUGAAUUGGUCUGUGUUUGGAGUUUGAUUCAUGGUGUUUUGCUUUCGUGAUCUUGUGGUUGUGUAAGCCUAAUUGAAUAGUAAAAUUUAGUUGUGGAUUGUGGGGUUUCUCUUUGUUUUUCAGCUGUGUUUUUGAUACAGCCGUGUGGGCUUUUUAUACUGCGUGGUUGUUUUUUCCAUUUCUGUCUAGCCGAGUGGGUUGUAUCUUUUAAACUGCGAGGUUGUGUUCUUAUAUCUAGCCGUGUGGGUUGUGGAUUAUGUUUAUAUAUUGAGUAUGUAUGUAUCUAUUGCUUCAGAUUGUCACUGGUACAGGAGAGAUGUUGUCAAAAUUUUUCAGUAGGGACUUCUCUGGGGGCGUGACAAUUUAGUGAUAUCAGAGCCAAGUUAUGAUGCCUAUUUAGGAUGUCUUUUGUUUUUUGGUGUUUUAAAUUUUUGGUGUUUUGGAUUUUUGAGUUAAUCUGAUACCAAUUUUUGGUAUCAGAGCAUGGUUCCAGUCUACUGUUGGAUUUUGGUGUUUUUAAGAUUUUGAUCUUGUUGUGAUUUACAAUUUGUCGAGUUAAUCUGAUACCAAUUUAGUGGUAUCAGAACCAGUUUACGAUGUCUGUCAUUUUUUGUGUUCUGUAUUUUCGAGUUAAUCUGAUACCAAUUUAGUGGUAUCAGAGCAUGAUUCGAGUCAAAUGUUGGGUUUUACAUUUUUGGGAUUUCGAUCUUGUAAAGAUUUAUGAUUUUUUGAGUUAAUCUGAUACGAAUUUAGUGGUAUCAGAGCAAAGUUUUAUGAUGCCUAUUUUCGAUAUUUCGGUUGUUUUGUUUUCCCCUUGUAAAUUGAUUCCUCUAUAUGACCUUCAGGUUUUAGGACCAGGCAGCGGCAGGAAUCUCCAAGCUAUAGGAGGUAACAGGUAGAUGAUUCAUUGAUGCUUGGAGAGAUGUCGGCUGCCAGUCCUGGGUCCUGCGUUAUAUCGGUUUUAUUUCUGCUUUACUUUUUUUUUAGUAUACAGCGGUUUUAGUAUUGUAUGAAUUGGUCUGUGUAUGGAGUUUGAUUCAUGGUGUUUUUCUUUCGUGAUCUUUUGGUUGUGUAAGCCUAAUUGGUUAGUAAACUUUAGUUGUGGAUUGUGGGUUUU